AGUGAACGCUGGCGGCAGGCCUAAUACAUGCAAGUCGAACGGCAGCACAGCAGAGCUUGCUCUGUGGGUGGCGAGUGGCGGACGGGUGAGGAAUACAUGGGAAUCUGCCCAGUCGUGGGGGAUAACGUAUGGAAACGUACGCUAAUACCGCAUGCGCCCUAAGGGGGAAAGCCGGGGACCGCAAGGCCUGGCGCGAUUGGAUGAGCCCAUGUUCGAUUAGCUAGUUGGCGGGGUAAAGGCCCACCAAGGCGACGAUCGAUAGCUGGUCUGAGAGGAUGAUCAGCCACACUGGAACUGAGACACGGUCCAGACUCCUACGGGAGGCAGCAGUAGGGAAUAUUGGACAAUGGGGGCAACCCUGAUCCAGCCAUGCCGCGUGAGUGAUGAAGGCCUUAGGGUUGUAAAGCUCUUUCGCCCGCGAAGAUAAUGACUGUAGCGGGAGAAGAAGCCCCGGCUAACUUCGUGCCAGCAGCCGCGGU
This 479-nucleotide ribosomal RNA is filed under the name uncultured bacterium. Its description in RNAcentral is "bacterial SSU rRNA". It matches the Rfam family "Bacterial small subunit ribosomal RNA", at positions 29 to 521 of the family's 1533-position model. The record is from RNAcentral.